GUUUUCCUACGGGGGGCAGCAGUAGGGAAUCUUCCACAAUGGACGAAAGUCUGAUGGAGCAACGCCGCGUGAGUGAAGAAGGCCUUCGGGUUGUAAAAUUCUGUUAUAAGGGAAGAAAGGUGAUAGGAGGAAAUGACUAUCAAUUGACGGUACCUUAUGAGAAAGCCACGGCUAACUACGUGCCAGCAGCCGCGGUAAUACGUAGGUGGCAAGCGUUAUCCGGAAUUAUUGGGCGUAAAGAGCGCGCAGGCGGUUAAUUAAGUCUG
Molecule: ribosomal RNA, 266 nt
Filed under: uncultured bacterium
Lineage: Bacteria
Description: partial 16S ribosomal RNA
Rfam family: Bacterial small subunit ribosomal RNA
Source: RNAcentral